AGAAAACCUGGCCGGUCCAUCAAACUCUUCCGACCGGCCCAAUCCCCAUGUCACGACCUUCCCAACCACCCCACCUCCCGCACCACUCUGCCCCAUCCUCGCGCGCACCUCCUGCCGCCGGCCCCAGCGCGCCACCCGCCGUCGACCAACCCCCUCCCCGGCCCGACGCGACCUCCCCAAACCACCGGCCGCCGCGCGCACCCUCGCCGGAAAUCUCGCCGCUGCGCGCGCCUCCCCAAACCACCCACCUCCGCCCGCGCCCUCCCCGGAUCCCUCGCCUAGCCGGUUCCCGUUGCAGCCGCCGCAAGCCUCCACGGAUCCCGGCGGCACCCUCCCUUCGGCGUGCUCCUUCAUCCCGCCGUCACGUCCUGGAUCCAGCUGCCCCGGACCCCGCCAGAUCCAGUAGAAGUUCCCGCCUACUCUCAACUGCUGCCAGGGAAGGACCUCGCCACCACGCCACUUCGUCCUUCCGACGCUGCAGCGCGCAAGCCGUUCACCUUCGUCGCCCAUGGAACAAAUGUGCCUUCUAUGGCUCCGCCCAAAAUCACGCCUGUGCCAUGGGUGUGGUCCUAGCUGAGGUGCAGCUCGCUGUUGCCCGACUCCUAGCUAAGGCAGAGGGGACAGAUAAAAUGCUGGGAGGAUUGGGGCAGGCCCGCAGGAGGUGGCGGCAAGCCUGAAGGAGUUGGAGGCACAUUACUACUCAUCAAUUGUCCAUACUCUGCUCUAUGAUUGAGGUUGUUUCCCCAUUUCUGUGGAUCGGCGAGGAUACAAUGUGCUUCUCCUGCUCGCUUGGGUCAAUGGGUGAUUUGACUGCUGAAGUUGACUAGUAAUUAUCUACUAAAUUUUCCAAGGAUAAGCUCGCUUCUACAUUUUCAUAUAUACCAGCUUCUGUUAUUUACAUAUCAGAUGCUCUGACUAAAUCAUCUUUUGUGUUUCAGAGACUGCAAAUUCUACUAUGUACCUUCAGCAGAAUUAGGUGUUGAAAAUGUUGUUCCUCCUAUGGAUCGUUGAUUCCACACUUUUGUCUGCAUUUAUGAAUAAUGCAUAUCCAGUACCAUGCUCUAAUAAUUUUUCAUCAAUUAUACUGCCUAUAUUACAACAGAAUUAAUGAAGUUCAACUUUGAGAAAGCAAUAAGUCCAAAUGUAUAUGGAAAAACUCUAAAAAGACAAUGACCAAAUUUUUUUGUUAGUGAAGUUCAAUUUGGAAAUACAUGAUAAAAAAGGUAUUCUUUUUUUUACAAUAAAAAAGUAUUAUGUAUUGUUGGUUUCACCAACUAGUCACUCUCUCACAAACAUUCUGUUACUGCUUCCCUUCUACUUCAUGAAAUUGUAUACAAAAAGAACAAUGAAUUUCAAAAUUAAAAGCAAAAAAGCAAGCAUUUCUUAAAGACAAAGAAAGUGUGUGCGAAGUUCAUAUUUUUUGUCGUGGAUGGUCCAAAAUGUUCGCUAAUGGAAAGGCACACCCUGGGUUUCCAAAAAAUGAUUGUAAAAAUGAUUGUGCAGAUUUUCUGUUACCCCAUUUUUAGUUACUGAUUGAAGAAAUUUUUGUUCAUUAGGUGAAAGAACUUGAUUUCUUUUGUUCCUUUGUGGAUGAAGAAGGUCACCACAGAGGUAGGGAGAAGGUCACCAUAAGACAGGGAGAAGGUCACAUAAGGUGCAGAAAGAAUGUCAGAGUUUAGCAACAGGGUGUGUGAUCUUUGUGUUGUUUUUGGGGAGCAAAUCAUGGGUAUGCGAUCUCACAUCCCGUGUGUUAUUGAGAUGGCCUCCCUUAGCCUCAAACCAUUUUCCUACAAAUAUGAUAGCCUCAAUGCUACCGUCAUGUGUAAAGAAAAUUAGAUGUGUACAUGUACACAACCUACAACAACUUUACGGGGAGUUGAUGGAUUUAUCCAGUGGUUGUUGCUGCCACUACUGAUUUUUUUCUUGAGAUGGUCUUCAUCACCAAUCAAUAAUUCACUUGUUUCUUGGUUGCAUCUAGUUCCCUUGCUCCACCUCAACACUGAUUCCUUCAGCUAGAUCUCCCUUGACCAUCACCAAUCAAUAAUUCACUUGUUUCUUGGUUGCAUCUAGUUCCCUUGCUCCACCUCAACACUGAUUCCUUCAGCUAGAUCUCCCUUGUUAUUUUGUAUUCUUAUUUUCUUUUCAUAAAGCAUUUGCUCUGAAAUUCGGAUCCGAUGAUGUAGCUUUGACUAUUCUUGAAAACGUGG
This 2207-nucleotide ribosomal RNA is filed under the name Triticum aestivum (bread wheat). RNAcentral's name for it is "partial small subunit ribosomal RNA". The record is from RNAcentral. Lineage: Eukaryota; Viridiplantae; Streptophyta; Magnoliopsida; Poales; Poaceae.